Molecule: ribosomal RNA, 487 nt
Filed under: uncultured bacterium
Lineage: Bacteria
Description: bacterial SSU rRNA
Rfam family: Bacterial small subunit ribosomal RNA
Source: RNAcentral
CUACGUGCCAGCAGCCGCGGUAAUACGUAGGGUGCGAGCGUUAAUCGGAAUUACUGGGCGUAAAGCGAGCGCAGACGGUUACUUGAGCAGGAUGUGAAAUCCCCGGGCUCAACCUGGGAACUGCGUUCUGAACUGGGUAGCUAGAGUAUGUCAGAGGGGGGUAGAAUUCCACGUGUAGCAGUGAAAUGCGUAGAGAUGUGGAGGAAUACCGAUGGCGAAGGCAGCCCCCUGGGAUAAUACUGACGUUCAUGCUCGAAAGCGUGGGUAGCAAACAGGAUUAGAUACCCUGGUAGUCCACGCCCUAAACGAUGUCGAUUAGCUGUUGGGCAGCUUGACUGCUUAGUAGCGUAGCUAACGCGUGAAAUCGACCGCCUGGGGAGUACGGUCGCAAGAUUAAAACUCAAAGGAAUUGACGGGGACCCGCACAAGCGGUGGAUGAUGUGGAUUAAUUCGAUGCAACGCGAAGAACCUUACCUGGUCUUGACAU